Saccostrea cuccullata (small rock oyster) is the source of this 1000-nucleotide long non-coding RNA. RefSeq lists it as uncharacterized. The transcript is spliced from 5 exons. Lineage: Eukaryota; Metazoa; Mollusca; Bivalvia; Ostreida; Ostreidae. The record is from RefSeq and is a predicted model, not a curated record.
AUUCCCAGCAAUAUAAAUUAAGCAAAUUCCUUAGUUCAGUUCACUAUUUUCUGUUUAUAGGUCUGAAGUGUACCAGUUUCUCUUUGACCUGUGCCAACUCUGGUUACCCCGCGUUUGUCAAGUACACGUGUACUUGUCGCUGUCCCAAGGGUCUGGAUCCCUCUACCGGAUGUCCGACUCAUUUUGAUGGGGGAUCGAAUGAUUUCAACAAUCAUCACCUUUGACCGUCUGACACCUUUACCAGAUUAAGUACCUGGAUACAUGUAACUGGCAGUCUCAGUGGGUUUUAUGAAGGCAGUUUUACACAUCAUCUUAAAGACACCAGGAUGGAGCACACAAGUUCCACAUUUAGUGCUGACAUCAUUUUUAAGCCCACCUCUACAUUUUACAAAUUUUGUGCUAAGAAGAAAAUGGAAGAAAAUAGAAUUUCGCCAAGCUGGCCUGCAGGAAAAUAUUGUAUGGAAAAUAUUGUAUCUACUGCCAAGGAGGGGUUUGUCCCAUUGGCUUCAGUGGUGGAUAUAUACAGUAUGAUGACACCAUGAAUCCAUAGCAUUCAGAUAUUCUCGGCAUUCUUCCUAAAGGUGACUUCACGGCUGACACAGGUUCUAUUUCUGUUGUCGCAGUGACUGAUCUACAUCAUCCGGUUAUCCUACCCUCAAGGAGCCGUUUGUCUUAUUUCCGGACACCUCUGCUUGACAGAAUGCAAAGUUUUGAUGACAAUGCAGAGUCGAGAUAUUGUGACAAAGACAUGCCAGCUUGAAGAAGACCAUCCAGUGAUCAUGGUGUUCCACUCAAUUUUUCAGAAUUAUGUGUCAGAUUGAAAUUCAUCUUAUGGUGGACAAAACAAUCAGGAUAUUCUUCUGGAUCUAGUCCAAAGUAUUGACAGAACCAAAAAAUACCUGAUAGUCUGCAAAUGGAGUGAUCAUUCUGAUUGGAUGAACCAGGCAACACUGAUUAUCGCAAGAAAUUUUAGGAUAGAGACUCCAUCUUCAUUCAUAAA